RNAcentral lists this small RNA (179 nucleotides) under Carnobacterium maltaromaticum. RNAcentral's name for it is "rli28". It matches the Rfam family "Listeria sRNA rli28". Lineage: Bacteria; Bacillati; Bacillota; Bacilli; Lactobacillales; Carnobacteriaceae. The record is from RNAcentral.
AGUACUAUGAUACAAUAGUUUAUGUAGGAAAGUUAUGACGGUGGCGAGUUCUGAAAGUUGGUGAUGCUUAUGAAAAUAAGUACGAAAACUAGGAAAGGAUAUAGCCUUUUGUCCAUGUAUGAAAAAUUGCCACUUGUUUUAGGUAUAGGAAUGUUUAUUCUUGCCUUGACCAAGCUUGU